AUUGAUUACAUAAAACUGUGAAAUAACUUUUAUCACUAAAAAGGCAUUAAAAAAAAUUGAGACAGGGUCUCAAUAUGUU
This 79-nucleotide small RNA is filed under the name Pongo abelii (Sumatran orangutan). Lineage: Eukaryota; Metazoa; Chordata; Mammalia; Primates; Hominidae. The record is from RNAcentral.